RNAcentral lists this ribosomal RNA (454 nucleotides) under uncultured Rhodocyclaceae bacterium. RNAcentral's name for it is "bacterial SSU rRNA". It matches the Rfam family "Bacterial small subunit ribosomal RNA", at positions 925 to 1382 of the family's 1533-position model. Lineage: Bacteria; Pseudomonadati; Pseudomonadota; Betaproteobacteria; Rhodocyclales; Rhodocyclaceae. The record is from RNAcentral.
ACAAGCGGUGGAGUAUGUGGUUAAUUCGAUGCAACGCGAAAACCUUACCUGCCCUUGACAUCCUCGGAACUUGUCAGAGAUGACUUGGUGCCUUCGGGAACCGAGAGACAGGUGCUGCAUGGCUGUCGUCAGCUCGUGUCGUGAGAUGUUGGGUUAAGUCCCGCAACGAGCGCAACCCUUGUCAUUAGUUGCCAUCAUUUGGUUGGGCACUCUAAUGAGACUGCCGGUGACAAACCGGAGGAAGGUGGGGAUGACGUCAAGUCCUCAUGGCCCUUAUGGGUAGGGCUUCACACGUCAUACAAUGGUCGGUACAGAGGGUUGCCAACCCGCGAGGGGGAGCUAAUCCCACAAAGCCGAUCGUAGUCCGGAUCGCAGUCUGCAACUCGACUGCGUGAAGUCGGAAUCGCUAGUAAUCGUGGAUCAGCAUGUCACGGUGAAUACGUUCCCGGGUCUU